AAGGCAUCUAAGAGAAAGGGAGUGUGGGCAUCACUGGCUCCUUUGUCCAAGUGCCUGAGGGUUGAUGGUCUUUUUCUAACGAAGACCCAGGUCCUUUCUCCUGAUAUUGAAGGAUGCCUGACUUUCAGUUCUAAAACUAGGAUAAUACCAGGCAAAUGGAGCUAGUUGGUCACCCUACCUGGCAUAAGACUGUGCCCAUCUUCGGGGCAUGAACCAUGCAUUAUUCAUCGCUGAUCCCUGGCACCUACCUAGGGCCUGAUACCUAGAGGUGGCAACCACUAUUAUUGAAUUUAUUCAAAUAUUUGUUCCUGUCACCGAACUAUGUUAAAGGGAAAUAAUUGGGCAGAAGGAAAAGCACUCAGCUACAAAGGACGCUGCAUUCUGUGCUGUUUCACGGGGAUGCAUAUGGGAUGUUUGAAGCCCCUAUAAAGCACAGAAGGAAUGUGAGCAGCUAUUUGUCCCUUUCUCUCCUGCCUCUAUCUGUUCUCUCUGCCUCCCAUUAUUCUUCCCCUCAGCUUUCAAAGACACAAAGAGGUAUCUACCCCA
Molecule: long non-coding RNA, 546 nt
Organism: Pan troglodytes (chimpanzee)
Lineage: Eukaryota; Metazoa; Chordata; Mammalia; Primates; Hominidae
Exons: 3
Source: RefSeq, a predicted model, not a curated record